UACGGAGGGUGCAAGCGUUAUCCGGAUUCACUGGGUUUAAAGGGUGCGUAGGCGGGCAGGUAAGUCCGUGGUGAAAUCUCUGAGCUUAACUCAGAAACUGCCAUGGAUACUAUUUGUCUUGAAUGUUGUGGAGGUAAGCGGAAUAUGUCAUGUAGCGGUGAGAUGCUUAGAUAUGACAUAGAACACCAAUUGCGAAGGCAGCUUACUACACAAAUAUUGACGCUGAGGCACGAAAGCGUGGGGAUCAAACAGG
RNAcentral lists this ribosomal RNA (253 nucleotides) under uncultured bacterium. Its description in RNAcentral is "partial 16S ribosomal RNA". It matches the Rfam family "Bacterial small subunit ribosomal RNA", at positions 524 to 776 of the family's 1533-position model. The record is from RNAcentral.